UCUCCUCCUCCUCCAGAAUCAAUUCCAAUGUCUUCCAUCUCAUCUUCCUCUCAUGACGAUCUUCACCUUAGAAAUGAAUAUUUUCAACUACUCCCUCUCUUUUUGAUAUGACAAAGGGGGGAAUGAAUUAAGGAGCUAAAUUUAGAAAUUUGAGAAGUAAUAUUUUGUGUACUCUAGAAAUGAAUAUUUAGAAAUGAAAUUUGAGAAGUAAUUUAGAAAUUAAUAUUUUCAACCACACGAUCUAAUGUUUGCUUAUUUCUCCUACUAGUAUUUUAAUUUCUAAAUUAGGAUUAAUUGCUUUUUAUUUUGUUUUAAACCAUUUGAAUAUUCAAGAAAAUCAUUUGUGAUGUAAUUUAUUUAGUAUGAAACUAUGAAUGAUAUAUUAUGGUUCAAGUAAAUCACAAGUUUAGUUACUCAAUUUGCAUUUUAAAACUUUAAUAUGAUAUUGAAUGCUAAAAUUUUAGGGAGAGCUCUUUGUUAAAAAUAUACAAAUAUUGUUACUGAUUUGCUUAAUGAGAAUCAUAAAUUAAAAUCUAAUUCAACAAGUUUGUCAUCAUAAAAAAUAAGAGUUGCUGAGGUAAAAUUCCAAUUUUAUAAUAAACAUUUGAAGAAUAUUUUUAAGACUGAUAUCUAACCUGUACUUUUGAGUGGUUUAAUUUAUAGACAGGUUCUGAUUAUGAUACAAGCAUCUCAUAUUCGCGACAUAAUUUAAUCCAUCUUUGUGACAUGAUGCAUCCCUCUAAAUUGCGAUAGAUUGAUAUUUUGUAACAAAAUCCAUCACUAAUUUGUGGUCAAAAUCAAUAAUUAUAUGUUAUGUUUUCGUUUGGUAUUAGUGAUGGAAGAAUUAAGAGUUUGUUUGAGUUCAAGUGGUUAAUGAGUUCCACAUAUGAUGAAUUGUUUAAGAGAAUCUGAAUUCGAUUUCUGAGUGAAAUAAUUCUAUUAUUAACCAAACUUUACUUAUCUUCUGAUCGAACUCCAAAUUAUCAAGACUAUUUCCAUUGAGAACUAGAGGGUUAACACAACCAAAAAAACUAAGAGUUGUCUAAUAUGAACCUCCUAAAAAAGGUUUAAAGUUGGACAUUUACUAUUUUUAGCAAAAGAUUGAAUUUUAUAAUAAUAAUAGUAAAAGGAAAAAAAUGUGUAAUGUUUUAUCAAAACUUACAAAAAUCGAAUUUUUCUAGAAGUCGAAAUUUUUUGGUGGAAUCUAGAGAUCAAUUUUAGAUUAUGUCCAUCUAAAGUCGAUCAUUUCCGUUUAGAGAUCGACUUUAGAUAGACAUGAAAAACUCAUAUAUGUGAGGAUACAAUUAUGUCGCAAUUGGCUAAAAUUUCUAGAUCUCCUAGCUAAAUAUUUAAUGUCCAACAUCCACGGUUUUGUUUAUGUGGUUACAUUAAUUAGUUUGCGACGAAAUUGUGUUGCUUUAGCGACAAAUCACAUACCCUAUCUAAAUUUAGUUUUUUUUCUUCUUCUAAUGGAGUGGCCAAUAAUAAAUAGUUUCUUUUAAGGGAUAAUAAAUAGUUUCUUCAAAAAAAAAAUAGCCAAACACAAAAGCUAUCGGAAAAAAGCCCAAGGACCCAAAAAGAUCCCCGGUCACACACAAAACCAACAAAAAAUGAAGCCCAUCCCAACACGCCAACAUGAGAAAUAAAGACAAAAAACACCCACAUGACAGAAGAACCUCGAAAUCCUGGAACCACCCAAACCCUCAAAGACAUAUAAGAUCCAUAUGUGUCAAACAACAUUGAACCCUAAAGGUGUCAACGUACAAAGAAUUGGUUGUCUCCCACUCGUAAGGGGAGCCGCGCGAUGCCUAGAGAAUUUACCAAAGAAUCACUCCCAAGAAUGAAAAAUAAUCCAAUCAACAUGUUGCUGCUCAGUCUCGAAGUUACUUCUUGAGAAAGGUCAUUACGAACUUUUCAAAUAUACCACACAUUCGCAUGCCCUAGCUCUCCUCCUAUAUACACCUAAAAGAGAACACACCAACUAAAUGUUAAGAACUCGGACACUGCAUAUCAAAUGCUCAUACACGACUACCAUAUUUGAUGUACUGAUUGUGUACUCUUUUUUUUUAUCCAAAAGUACUAAAAGUAAAUGAAGAAAGAAUAUGAGGAAGUAUACAUAGUACAUUUUUAUUUGUCUAAAAAGUAGUGAAAAUUUAACAUGGUUGGUUAUUAUAAAGUAAAACUAGCAGCCCUAAACACCGUAGUAGCAAACUUAAGCCAAACCCAUGCUGGCCCAUCAACUUAUAUAAUAAUUACCCACGAACGUUAGUGGAAAAACUCGGUUGCAUAUUUUAUUGUCUCCCCUAUAAUUGUUAUAACCUACAAAUACUUAUACGUCACUUAAAUUUGAGCAAUCUCAUCCAUAAAUUCCCACCCCACAAGGCCACAACAACGAUUAAAGAAACAAAUUAAGAGAGAUUAUACAUACAUAUACACUCCUACUUAGGUCCAUUCCACCAAUUAAAGGAAUCACAAACAAGAAGAGAAAAAUAAAAUAGCUAGAGAGAAAUACAUAAAGAUGAGUGAAGAAUGUGGUGGAAACACUAUUGCUACCUCUACUACUCCAUUAAACUGGUGGUAUCUUCAAGCAAAUUCUCUUUCUUCUAAUUGGAAUGAUGUUAAACAUGCAUGGAACAACCAAAUGAAUAAUCCAAAUUCUUCCUCUUCUUGUGAGGAUCAAGAUAUAUCAGUUUCUUCUACAUCUUUCACCAAUGCAUCAAACCAUUCAAGCCUCACUGUUGAAUCCUCUCGAAGAGUAUUCGUCGAGCCGCAUGCACCACCUUCCUCCAACGACUUCAUGGCCGAACAUGCUUCGGAUAACCAACUAUGGAGUCAUGUUUUAUCGUAAGUUUCGUAAAUUGUUAAUUAUUACAAUUGUGCUAUAUGUUAUAAUGAAAACUAGUCUCAAUAUCACGAAAUAAUGUGCGUUAGAAUUUCAGUACAAAGGAAAAAAAAUUCAUAUGCUAUUGACUGAAAACAUGGAUCUGUCCAAUGAUAUUAUUUUGUGACACUUCUUAAUGGAACCCCUUCAUGACAGUAAACAAUUUCCUAAUUAUUAAUAAAUAUCUGAUGUUUUUACUGCUAUAUAUUAUUGAAACUGGCAAAAAAUUUUAUUGCUAUAUAAGAGACAAAUCUUUUACAGUUUUAGGUUAGAAAUUUUGUGAAGUUUAAGGGUGUUUUAAGUUAGGUAUAUAGGGUUAAAGUAUACGAUGGUUUUUUUCAGUGUGAGUAAAUAAUAUUCUUCUAGGCCUUUGCUUUCCACUAUCUAUAACAUGCUAACAGCUGUUAUGUGCACUAUAAUCAGUGUUUUCACACUAUGCAACAAUGAUCUCUUGUUUAUCCAUCCACAUACCAAUAAAAACCCUCUUGGAUUCUGUAAGAUAUAUAAUUAAAAAGUAAAUUUAUUAUAUAUUUUAGUAUAUAUACAGCUAAUUAGCUUUUUGUUUUGAUAAGAAAUGUUUGUAUAUUUUAAUUACAACUAAUUUACUUUCUUAUGUAAAAUAAUUUAUAGAGGUGUUGAUUCAAAUGGAGAGUUACACAACAACCAAGAAAUUGGAGAGAAUUUCUUGGAUGGACUAUCAUCAAAAACCAUGACAAACACUAUGUUUGAUGAACCAGCUUGUGACUAUUUGAAGAAACUUGAUACAACAAGUUGGGAAUAUAAUACUAGUGGUUCAACUUCAUUCAAUACUAAUUUUGAGAAGCACUUAAAUGGGUACAGUGAAGCUCUUAUUGAGAAUAAUGAAAGGUUGACAAAAUUAUCCAAUCUUGUAAGCACUUGGUCUAUUGCCCCACCUGACCCUGAAGUUAGUAGCCACUUUGAUUCACAAACAAAUAACAAUUUGUCUACUAAUUUGAAUAAUUCUAAUUCGUCCAAUAUGGAUCAUAAUCACUACACACAUGAUUCUGACCCUAAUUGUCAUUUCAAACUACCUUUUGGUGAUUCCACAUCAUGUACUAUUAGAGAAGGAGUAGGUAAUAAAAUGUUCCCUAGUUGCCUUGAUAUUCAAGACAUGAAUAAGGUUAAGGAAGAAUAUCAUCAUCAUGCAAGUGAAGUGAUGCAAGGACAUGUAUUUAGAAAAUCACUUAAUCCAAAUGGAUAUCUUGAUGGAUUUAACUCAGUGGGAGAUCACAAUGGCAAAUUUUAUGAAGGGUUGCCAAAUAUUUCACCAUGCACCAAAAAUUUCUCAGAUGUUAUAUCCUUUAAUAGUAGGCUUGGAAGGCCAGUUGUUGGAAUCCAUCCACAAAGGCCUAAUAUGAGAUACUCAAACUUAUCUGAGUCAAAGAAACAAGGGCUUCAAACACCAUCACAUGUGAGUUUUUUCUUCUUCUUUUAUAGACAAAUUUUAUUUGUUAAUUUGUUUUGUUAGCAGCAUACAAAUUUCACUUAAAAUAGUGAUGAUCCAUCUUUAUAUCCUAUAUUUUUGAGAGAUCCAUAUUUUUCUAAAACGGUAAAAUUUAUUAAUAAUUAAGUUUCUGCACUAGACGAACAGAGACCUGUAAAAUAUAUAUGAGACAAAUCCGAAAAAAUAUAUGAAGUAGCGACAAAAAAUUUAAAAAGAAAUUUUUAUAAUGUAUUUGUCUCUAUAAAUUAGACAUGGAAAUUUAAUUAUUUUUGUUUCUAAUUUCUUGGUUGAUUUAACUUUUUUUAGUAUGGCAACUAAUUUCUAUUCAAAAUUUAGAGAAAAAGUCAUGCUAGCUCUGACAUUAUUUUGUCAAAUAAAAUGUGUAUGCAAUUAAUUUAUGCAGAUGAGAACCACUAAUGGAAGAGGAGAGGGAACAACACGUGAAGUAAAGAAGAAAAGAUCUGAAGAAUCAUCAGAAGCAAGUUUGAAAAAGCCUAAGCAAGAUACUUCAACAACAAAUUCAUCUUCAAAGGUACAUAAAUAUAUUUAUUAUAUAUUAUGUAAUAUACGUACCAACAUGAACUAAUUAUGAGUGUAAAAAAGUCAUAUAAAGUGGGGGAAACCUUUUUAUUUUGUGUAUUAAUGUAAAUUAAGAAACUUCUAUUGAUUGUUUAAAAGGUGCAAGCACCUAAAGUCAAGCUAGGAGACAAGAUCACAGCCCUUCAACAAAUUGUGUCUCCAUUUGGAAAGGUUACUACAGAAUGCACUAAUCCCCACACCCUCUUCCCUUUUUCAUUCCUAUCUUUUUUGUAUAAAUAAUUCACAGUGCUUUUACUUUUCUCACUACCUACUUCAUAAUAAUCAAUUUAUUUUAUUUUUCUUUGUUGAAUUUCAGACUGAUACAGCAUCUGUGCUGUUUGAAGCAAUAGGGUACAUAAAGUAUCUUGAAGAACAAGUCCAGGUGUGUAUCAUUAUGGAAAAGUUCCCAUUCAUUAUGCAUUAUAUGUAACUAUAUAGUAUAUAAUAUACAUUAUUGUUGCUUUUCUCCUCCUUUUCAUUUUUAAUUAAUGCCAAGGAAACUUGACUUCUAGGAUUAUUAGUUCUUUAUCAAAAUGAAUAAACUAACAACAAUGCUGUGUUGAGCGAUUACACAUUUUCCAUGAAUAUCUCAUGAGCUUCAUCAACUAUAUAAUAUAAGGAGAUUUUAAAUAACACCUAACUAAAAUCUAAUUAUGAUUAGUAAAAAUAUGUGCCCCUGCCAGUAUGUUAAUCUUAGCUGCAACAAAUUACAAAAUUGUAUACUAUUAGUAGAUUAAAAACAAAACAAAAUGAAAAAUAAAAAUUUUAUAGGGACUAAACAUGUUUAACCAUGUACCAAAAAAAAAACAUAUUUAACCAUAUAUACUUUAAGUGAUUAAAGAUGCAGGUUUUUUUUAUCAUAACCCUUCCAUUCCUAGAAAAUGGCCUAUAUAAUACAUGUUCCGGCCGGAAAGUAAGUAAAGUCUGACAAAUAAUCAUUUUAAGUCAUAAUUUGAAACCAAGUUUCUUCUAAACUAUUGGUAUUAAAGGUGCAGCUUCAAACACAAACAGUUCAACUAUAAGUAAUAUAAUCAUCUUUUUCUUCAUUAUAUACAAUUAACAGUUUAAUUUAUCUUUAAUUAAUUCUUUUUACGUUCAUAAUUAUUAUGCAGUUACUGAGCAACCCUUACUUGAAGGCAAAUUCACACAAGGUAAUUAAGAAAUUAAUCUAUAUAUAGAUAUCUCUAUUAAGUACUUUUCAAAAUUAAAUUAUUCUCUCAAAAUUUCACUCUUAAUUAGAGAUGAUUAACAUAAUAAUUAAUCCAGGAUCCAAGGGGAAGCUACUUCGAUAGAAAAGAUAAGGAGGAUGCAAAGCUAGACCUUCGAAGUAAAGGUCUUUGUUUAGUUCCUACUUCAUGUACCCCUAUAGUUUAUAGAGAGAACAAUGGGCCAGAUUACUGGACACCAGCGUAUAGAGGAUGUAUGUAUAGGUGAUUAAUAACACAUGCAUAUGACUUAUGCCAAAAAUAGUAUGUGGUUGUAUGUACUAUAAUCUUGGAAAUUAUAAGAUCUCGUCAAUAAAUCAUAUAUUAUCCUGAAUGUAACUAUUUAUUUAUUGUCUUGAUGUAAUGCCUGGUUACACGAGUAUACACAUUUUAGUUGACCUUCAAACAAGGGCUAGUACUUAGCAUUAUUGAUUUUUCUUUUUUUAAAGUUCUCUUACUAGAAAGAAUGUGUUUUUCAUACUAAAAAAUUACUUGAGUAAAAAAAACGAUAUUAAUAAAAAGACUCUUAAAGUAAAAAUGUUUCUCUCAGUGAUAUAGACAAAAGAUGCACAUUUUACCAAUUUAGCUCUCCAAUUACAAACAAAUUAUUAACAGUCACAAUUGUUGGAUGAUGUAAAAAUUUGACAUUAACUAAUGUUUUUUUUACGGAUUAAUAAUUUUUUUCUACGAAUAUAUAUUCAAUUUUCAUUUUCUAUAGUUUUAUUCAAAUUGCUAACGAAGGAAAUGAAACACUCAUGUAAUGUAUAUGUGUGAUAGGGAGAAGGUGAUAAGCAAACUAGCUAGGAUGAAUGUAUUUUCAAAAUCAAUGAAAAUAAUGUUUAGGCACUUUCAAAGUUUAUCAAAAAGUUUUAUAUGUUUUAAAAAAAAUGUAAAAGAAGAUUGUGAUGAAAAUAUUCUUUUAUGUUCAUUUGUUGAAGUGAAAAUAAAAAAAAAUAAAAUAAUAUUUAUUAGGUAUAAUUCAGAGUAUAAUUAAUCUCACAUUGAGUCUCUCAUUAGUUGGUUAGUCAAAAGAAUAUGAAAUUCAUUUUAUUUUCUAAUCGAAAAUUAAUUAUAGCGAAGCAAUUAGAUAAUUCACACCUAUAAUACAAUCUUUAAUUUUCUAAUAGGUGUAAAUUCUCUUAUAGGUGUGAAUUAUAGCAAUUAGGUAAUUUUCUAAUACAUACCUAUAAAAUUAUCUAAUCUAAUUGUUAUAAGAAACUUCUAAGGUACACUCAGAAAGUGAGGUGUACCGGUACUCAUGCUUCAUAAUUUUAUAAAUUAACGAUCAUUUUUUAUGAAAUAAAUAGUUAUUUGUUAAUAUUAAUAUUUUAUAGAACAUCAUUUCAUAAGAAAAAACAUCAUUUCAUUGUUUAUAAGAAUUAUAAUAAUUUUUUUUACAUAUUAUCAUAAAAAAUAAUCAAUGUUCUCAAUUAUGAGUGAAAAAAAUUCAAAAAAAAUUAAUUUUAUUUCGUUGACACUUUUGAUAAAUAAGAUUUAAUUAUUAUAAUUAUAGAUGAUAAAAAAUAAUAUUUUUCUUUAAAAAAACAACUCAUUUAACUAUUAAUUUAAAAAAUGAGUAUACCAAUACACUCAAAUAUAUUGGAUGUACCAUAAAAUUUGCAUUGUUAUAAUUAUCUUAUACCGAAGUAAUUAGAUAAUUCACAGGUGUGAAUUUUUUGAUGAUUGUAUUAUAAGUGUGAAUUAUCCAAUUGCUUCGCUAUAAUUAAUCUCCACCUAAAAUUUCACUAAUCAACUUUAGUUGAGUCUCUCUUCUCAAUUACUACCUUCGUCCUAAUUAUAAGACUCUUUUGAAAAAAUAAUGGGAAUUAAGAUAGUGGAUAUUUGUAUUAAAUAUGUUUGUAAUUACUAUUGUUUUUACAAUUUUAUCCUUUAAGAAAUAGGGUUGGCUUAUGUUUUCAACAUUUUAUUUAUUGCUGAUUGAAGAAAAAGAUGUAUAAUAAAUAGGGGCAUGUAUGUAAAGAAAUAAUUAAUGUAGUUGGAAAUAGAAAAGGGGUCUUAUAAAAAGGGACAAAAUUUUUUUCUCAAAAGGGUCUUAUAAUUAGGGACGGAGGUAGUAUGUUUUUUUUUCUUCAUCCAAAAAAACCCUUUUUAAAGUGAAAUAUCAUAGAGUUAUUUAUUUUUUCGCAAAGGACUCACCAAAUAAUGUAUACAUCACCUCAAACCCUAGUCGUCACCCUUUUCUUCUUCUUUUCAGAGGGGUGAUUUAGGGUUAUUUUUGACACAAAAUCACCCCUCCGAAUUGUUUUUUCUUCUAUCAUAAUUAAAUAACUGAUUUCACAUAUUUUCAGUUUUCUUUCGUUUGAUUUGUGAUUACGUCGUCUCUGAACGACUCUGUUUGUUUUGAUUUCCCGUCUUUAUCCGGUGUGUUUUUGAUUUCCCAUCUUAGUGCGGUGUUUAUUUGAUUCAGGUUGAAAGAUUAGCUUUAAGCAAGUGCAGAUCCGAUCAAUGACAAUGACUUUGGCGUCGUCAACGUUGCAGAUUCGGAGACAUGAGUAUUCCGGAGACAUGAAUAUAGUCAUAUUAAUUAUAUUUGUAGGCAUAGGUACUUUGCCGUUUUAUGCUAUUAACAUGGAUGCUGUGAGUUUGUUCACAGAUUCAUCCUUUUUAUUUUUAGCAAAUUUGAAUUUGUAUUGUAUCGAUGUACUCUAUCAAUUUGAAAGAAUGCAUAUUGUUUAUUUUUGUCAAAAAAAUAAUAAUAAUGUAUACAUCACCUUAUACCGUAAGAAGCAUAAAAGACACUCAUUAACAAAAUAUUUGAAUAAGAAAGCAUAGCCUGAACUAUAUAAGCUUUGGAAAGUUAAUGAAAACAAAAUAUAGUUCUCCAAAUCUAAAAACCAAGCUGAUUAAAAUUGUUGAAAUUGAACAUUUGAGUUGACUCUAGUGUUUGUCACGAUCAAUUUGCAAGAGAAGGACCAAAUUUGACAUGUAAAUCAAAAUAUUUGAUAAAAGAAUUAGUGUGCAUGUUCAUCACCUGAUGUACAGAGAAAAAUACUAAAUAAAUUAUAUAUUCAUGGAUGGUCAACUGAGAGUUAGCUAAGUGUGCAUCACAUUAAAAACUUUUGUAAUAUAUUGUAACUUUUUAGGUUAUUGUCACUAAUUCUCAGUACUUUAGAAUAUGUGAAAUUGUAGAUAGAUUCUUCAUAUAUAUAGAAUCUUCAUACAUAAAAGGUUCACACUCCAUUUUAUACUCCUUAAAUAUGGUAUCGUUUUUAAUUUUUUUUGUAUAAUCAGUAGAAUCAUAUUAUUAAUUGACUGUAGAAAAACAAAACCAUAUAUGGUGGAACAGCAUGGAUGGUUUUGAACAUGUCCACUCACUAACAUUGAACGAUUUAGGAUGAUUUAAACAAGUAAAAGAUGGGAUUGAUUCUAGAAGUAGAGAGAAUGACGUAUUGUUAAGUGCCAAUGAGAAAUUGGUCAAAGGGGAGAUGAGCAAAAAAGCCAAUUGCAAGGUUGGUGGUGCACUCAAACAUAGAUCAGUCAUGCUUCUUAUAAUGACAACCAAGACAAACACACCACCCUCACAAAUCCUCACAAUUUUUUUGGAACAAAAGUAGUUUUUUUUUUUCAUAAUCCAAAUAUAUGGAAUUGAUAUAAUGAUAUAAUUCAUUUCAGUAAUUUUGAAAUUGAUAGUAAUUUCAAAUUUUUAGAAACAUCACUCCCUUCUUUUUCUCUUCUCCUCUUUUCAUCUUCUUCGUUCGUCGAUAAGGAGUGGUUUAGAAUUAAUUUUUUUUGGCAUAAAUCACUCAUCUAAUUAAUUUUUCUAUCUUUUUAUAUAAGUGAUUUUUCGUAUAUUUUUUUUUUUUGUGAUUUUGUCAAUUUAGUACGGCCUAUUAUUUUGUUUGCCAUCUUUGCUGCUAUGUUAGUUUGUUUUUUCGUUUUGUUCUGGUGUUUAUUCUAUUUAAUUGAUAUAUUAGAUUUGAUCUGAAAGCAUUGAUAUCUCAAACACUUUAAUUUUAUUGCAUUGAUAGGCUUUAUCAUAUUUGUAUUUAUAUUUUUCUCAUUUUCCUUAUGUUCUGAGAUAGAAUAUCAAUCAUGGCAAUUUGAAUUUUGAAAUGAUAGGAAUUGAUAUUCACUUUGGCAAUUUUGAAAACUACGGAAUUGAAUUUUGAAAUAAUUUAGAUCUAAAAGAGUUGAUAUUUUUUAACCUUUUUUUUUUUUUUUGUUUUUUUACCUAAAAAAAUAUUUUUUUUCUACAUCUUGUUCGUAUAAGGAUAUUAAUUUAUUUUAUAGACUAAUAAAAAGAUUAACAUCCUUCUUCUUCUUCAGCCUACAAACUAGUUCAUCACCACCACCGACAACCUCCAUAACACUGUUAAACGUUUAAAUCCAACAUCAACAAUAGCAAACAACACCAAGAACCAUUUCCUUCCAAUAAACAAACACAAACUAAAAAUUCUUAUUCAUCGUCAACUCAAACUCAUACCACAAUCUCCGUCAUCAUCAUCGCAAUACCAGAAAACAUUUUCCCUUCAAACUAACAAACCCAAACGAAGAAACUUGCAAACUCGCUUUUGUUGCCUAUAAUUGGAUUUGCACCAUAAGAAUUUUGUUUGUGAAUUUAGAUGGUUUUAUGCUUUUAUGUGGUCGAACGUGGCAUUUGAAGCACUUUCCAUUAACAAUGUUGAUAAACUUUUUUGAACAAACAAUGUUGAUAAACUUAAAGUUGGAUGCAAUAAGCUAUUAAGGUUCAUAGUGCAAAUCGUUUUCUUUUGUUGCUAAGUUUUUUUUUGUUUUUAAAUCUUUCUUUUAUUGGAUUUGGUCCCUUGCCAAUUUCAUUUUUUUUGGUUUUCGUCCCUCUCACUUAUUGACUAAUCAACUCAUUUGCCACGUGUCAUUUGCUUGCCACAUCAUCCAUUGUCACGCCAUCAUCUGAUUGCUCUCAUACAUGUUUUUGUAACAAAUGAUGACAGCAUGAAUGAAAAUCAAAACGUUUGCAUCUUACAUAAUUUGUAUAAAAAAAUGUUUUGAGCCUGAAUUAGAAGAAGCCCGAUCUCUUUUUUUACCAUAUCAUUAAAAAUUUAUAAAGACAAUAUUUUAAACUUUUCUAAUUACCUUUUACGCCAUCAAUCACUUUUAUAUUACCAUUUUUGUAUGUGUAUAGAAUUUUUUUAUACAAUUUCGUCAAAUUUAAUGGAAAAUAUAACAUAUAGCACAACUCUUUUAACAAAGGUUAUAAGUUCAAUCCAGCUAUGAAAUGUAGCAAUGUUAAAUAUUUUGAAGAGAAGCAUUGCGAUUCAUUGCUUUUCAUCAUCUCCCAUUUUGAUGAAUGAAUUGGUAGCAAUUCUCUUUUUAAUUCGUUCAUUCAUGGGUGGAGCUGGGCUUUGUUUCUUCCAUGCCUCCUAAUUGGCCUUUUAUGUAACUUUGCUUUUCGGAAAUUGUUUUUCUCCAUUUUGUUUUUGCUUAUUUUAUUUAUAUGUCUACGUGAGGGACGUUAUACCCCCACACCUCUACACUUAUAUCUUACCCAACAAUUUUUAAAAAUUCCAAUUUUACCCCUUUUACUAUAUAAUCUUUUACACAUAAAUUUUUCACCCUCAUUUUCAACAUCUCUUAAUUAAGGAUGAGUUCACCGCCACAUGAUAUUUUUCUUGAUACUUAUUUCCUUUUUUGUUUUUCACUAUCAAACGUUUCCGAAAAUAUUUCGGAAUAUUCAUAUAUACGUUUACAAAAAUAAUAUGAGAACUAGUCUCUCUUCAAAUGAAUGAUGCAACACAACUUAUCUUUCUCCUUUGAUGGAAAAAAUUGUUCUAAUACCAAUUAUUGAAAGAAAAAAUCAAUAAAAAAUCUUUAAACAAGCGGCAACACAACCACAAAAUAUGUAAAAGAGACAAAAACAAAUCACAAGACUGUUUAUCGACACUUCACACCUUCAUUCAUAAUAUCUUAACAAAAUAUUUGUUACAAAAAUAUGCAUACUUUUACUAGGAAUUGCAAACCCUCUUAUACAAUUAUAAUUUUUGCAUAGAUAUAUGCAAACUAAUCUUUCUCAAUUACAAUUUUUGUAAGAAAAACUACAAACUCUUUUAUGACACACAACUACCCAACCUCUUUUUUUUUUUUUCAUUACUCGAUGUGCGAUGUGAAAGAAUAUCAAUUUUAGAGAACAAAUGACUAUAAUUUAUAGGUGGCCUUUAUGAUUUUUCGCACAAAUUUUCAUACUGUGAAAUGUGAAUAGAUGCAUGUGCAGAGAUGGAGUUCAUAAUUUAAAUCUUACGUUAAAAAUAAAACAAGUUUUUAAUGUUAUAGUUUAAAAAUAAAAAAUUGUUUCUUAUAUACAAUAUUUUUAUGAAUAUUUACAUAGUUUUUAAAAAAAAUUAAUAAUGAAUGGUAUAUUCGUGUCCUGUAUGACACAAUGAAACAUAUGCACAUGAAUAAAUUAUACAUUAAGCCUAAUCAUAUGAUCUGAAAAGAUUUUCUCUACAUCUCGUCGAGCUAGCAAGGUAGAUAGAUGUCAACUAAUAUAUAUACAUUAAUUUUUAAUUUGAAUUUUUUUUAACAGCGUUGGAUUGACUUAUAUGUGAUAUUUUAUUUCAUAUUAGGGUAGAGUCUGCUCAUUGGAAACUGAAGCAAAUGUUGGAAAACAGCAAAGAUGACUUGUGCAAAUGUUGGAAGGGUAUGCACAACAUGAAGUUGCAAUUAGGAAAAAUCAUAGCUUCAUUUCAAAAAAGUUUUUAUGAAGUUGAACACGCACACACAAGUCUAUUUUAUGAAAAAUUGCGUGGAUUUGUUUCUAGAGCUGCUUUAACAUGCAUUGUUGUUGAGUUUGAAAGAGUUAGAUAUAUGGAAAUCGACGAAUCGACAUGUGGUUGCAAACUCAGAACAACAUAUGGAUUGCCUUGUGCUUGUGAGUUAGGAAGAUAUAAAAUUAGUGGUAUACCUAUACCAUUAGAUUCAAUUCAUAUUCAAUGGAAGAAAUUAAGCAUGGAAAAGUCAACAAGAGGAAGACACGGAAACUGGAUAAAACGAUUGAAACUAAUAAAACCUUAUUAUAUGACUAAUAGAAUAAAAACACCCCCUUUGAAUUACAAAGUGUGGCUAGAAGGGAACAAAUACAUUAUACAGUAUAAGCAAAGAGUGUGUUAAUUACUUACAUGACCAUACCACAGGGAGCUUUUCUAUACUUGACAUUAAAUUUAAGACAGUACACGUUUACUUAAGCUUAAUUUUACUAUAUUUAGUUAGCAAAAACAGCUUUUCAACUACAGUAGUUGUUUGAAUCCUUUAAAAAAAUACAAGUAAUUGUUUUAACUUUUAAUCACACAAAUAAACUACUCCAAAAUCCAAAUACAUAAACAAGCUUGGCUAAUGUGCUCUUGAUCUUUACAGACAAAGCAACAAUCACCCUUUAAAGUCUAAACAAUCCCAUUACUUAGAGAUACACAUAAGAAAGCACAAAGAAGCCAAAUCCGAUAUAAAAAAUAAAUGUGAUACAUACACAAGUCACAUAUAAAUAAUACUUCAUCAUCAGGGAACAAUAUAUCAGUCUUUUCCAUGUACAACGAUUCAUUAAGCAAUUAAAAUAGCAAUUGCUAAUAAGAGGCGCGGACAUGACCUCAAAAUAACAGAAUUAUCACAACAGACAACAAGUAAGGAUGGAAUAACACAAUUAAGUAAGUAAUGGACAUAGUAUGAAUAACUAAAUGAAUUCUACGAAAACAAUGUAACUAUAUUUCAUUUCCAUUAAUUGCAUAUAUAGAGGUAACCUUGAUCAGUAGUAUAUCUAUGCCCAUUAAUUAGUAUAUCUAUAAAAAAAAAUAGUAGAUCAUGACAAAAGCUACUUCAGAGAGUUAAACAAAAAAUUAAAAAAGUAAUUUUUUUUUGCGCCUGAACUGGAAUUCUUGGCCAAACGAUUCCGGGAAUAAUUAACCGAAAUACUUUGAACGCGUUUUCCGGAAACUACCGGAACACUUCACACAUGGUUUCCGGAAAUCAACCGGAACACUUUGGUUAACACGAUUCCUCGGACGAUUCCAUGAAAGGACGACGGCAAUAUUUCCAGAAAACGGUUUCGUGGAAGGAUUUAUAACACUAACCCAGAAAAUUUUGAAAAACCUAACCGUGAACGAUUCGUGAAUGAUUCCAGAAAAUAAUUCAGAACAAACACAUGGAAUUAGUGGAUGAGACAGAACACAGAAUCAGAAUAAAUGAUGCUUACUUGUUUGUUGGAAGAAGAAUCAGAAGAGGGUUUUCCAGAAAAGGGGAUUGAACGUUGAAGGAGAAGGGUUUAGAGUGUGUGGGGGUGAAAAGUGAAGGGUAAUUUUGGUAGUUUGUGUUAAAUGUUGGGGUAUAGGUAUAAAUGUAGGGGUGUAGGGUAUAACGUCCCUACGUUAACUCAUGUUGAAAAAAUCGAACGUGAGUUAACUCACGUUGGGCAUAAUUAAGGGAAUGAGCAAUUUAUUGCUUUUUUCAAAUAAAAAGUUGCUUAAAAACACAUGAAAAUGACACAAACCGCUGUAGUUAUCUAAGCUUAGGGUUUUUGGUCAUUUUCAUGUGUUUUUAAGCAACUUCUUAUGUGAUUUUUUUUUUUUUUUUAAUGUUUGUAACAGCUAAGUUUAUCAACUAUUAGUCAGCUUAUAGUUUCUUAUAAUAAUAUGAGAUUUCUUUUUGGGCGAGCGUGUUUAGUUUUUUUUUAAUAAAAAUAGAUAAAUAAAAUAACUUUAAUCAUUUAAUAGUGUUUGUUUAGGUUUUUAUUUUAAAUAUUAUUGUUUUACUCUAAAAUGAAAAGCUAUUAGAAUUAACUAUCUUUAAAAAUUUUUUUUUUUUUUCAAAAAUAUAGAGGUAACACAUGAACAAGUUUUUCUAAAAAAAAAAACAAUUAUUUUUAUAGAAGUAAACAAACAGAAAUAAUUUCAGAUUUUUUAAAGAAACCUCUAAAAAGAUCUCUAGAUUUUUAUAAUACAAAAUCUUUUUUCUUUUUAAGUUGAAACAAAACACCCUUAAUCUCUUUUAUUUGAUUUACCCUAGUUACAUCGCAUAAACCUUGAAUUUCACCAUUUCUAGAAAGAAAAAAAAAGGGUUAAAUAUGUUUUUGGUCUCUAUAAAUAUACCAACUUUUCGUUUUAGUCCCUCUAAAAUUUUCCUUCAACUUUUAGUCCCUAAAAAAUUUUCAAUUACUACUUUUGGUCCCUAUUUUUAAUUUAAUUUUUGUAUUUUUUAAUAAAAUUGUACAGAAAUGUGUAAAAUAUUCUAAAAAAAAUAAAGAAAUUAGAAUUUUUUAACAAAACACAAAUUAAAUAUGAAUUUUUAACUGUAAAAAAUAUAAAAAUUCAUAUUAAAUUCAUGAUUUGUUAAAAAAUUCUAAAUUUUUUUUGAAGUGAUUCUUAUAAUAUUUUGAAUUUUUAUGGAAAAUUUUAUUAAAAAAUAUGAAUUCUAGAUAUGAGUUUACUUUAAAAAGAGACCAAAAGUGAAAAUUGAAAAUUUUAUAGGAACUAAAAGUUGAAGGAAAAUUUUAGAGGGACUAAAUGAAAAGUUGACAUAUUUAUAGGGACUAAAAAUAUAUUUAACCCAAAAAAAAAAUACCCUUAAUUUGUUUUCAAAUUUUAACGUGACCACUGCAGCAACUAUAGACAAGGGAAAAUAUGGCGAUACACGCAGACUCCAUCGGUAAGAAACCUAGGUGUUUCUAGAAAGUUUAGUGGAAUAAUGAUAGUCAUAGUUGAGUCUCAUUGUUUACAAAUGCCAUUUGUAAAUUUUAUUUUGAAGGUGAGAAAAACACAAGAAGGGGGUUGAAGUGUGUUAACUUUUUCUUUUCUUUCUCUAUCUGAAACAAGCAGGUCAGAAGCAGGUAGAAUUCUACUUCUGAAGAGAUGUUCAGAACUAAAUGCAGCGGAUACGAAUAGAGAGAAAGAGAGAAAAAAGACACAGACAAUUUAUACAGGUUCCUUCCACAAACUGGAAGUCAGUCAUGUCCCCCUUGCACUUCCAAGGGGAGUUCACUAUGUAAUAUCUGAUUACAAAUGCUCACUACUAAACUUAGUAUGAGACUUCAAAUUGCUCAAGCACAACUGCAAGAGACUUCCUAUGCUCCUGAACACAAUCAAGAGACUUCUAUUGCUCAAGCACAACUGCAAGAGACUUCUAAAUUCAAACAGAAUUACAAUGAAAAAUGUUUGAGGUUGAACACUUGAUAUACAAUCAAUGGUGUUCACAAUACAAAUCACAGACUCUAGAAUUCCUAAGAUAUAAGCUUUGUUAUGAAAUUCUAAGUGAACUUUGAAGUGAAGAGCAAUUUCAACAGAGUUUUAGCUUAACUGAUGCGUAGUAUUGUUCUUUAGUAACUCUGAGUCUUCACUCCUUUAUAUAGAGUUGUGAAAGAGACGUUGAAAUGUCUUCUUAUUCAAAAUAGAGUCGUUUGAAGCUCUUGAUCUAUCACCAAUGAUCUUUUGCCUGAUAUGGUUAUUGUCCUAUGAAGGAUCAAUUUCAAAUGUGUUCCCAAUGUGAAUAAACAUUGUUGCAGGCAGAGCUGUUAUCCUUGUCUUGUAGCAGAGACAAACUCAUAAUAGUGGAGGUAGUGGUUGUACACUUCGUACAAACGUACUAUGUCAACGCUCUUUGAAGAAAAAGCAUCCAAUGCAUUUCAAAAUAGUCGUGCCACAAUUUUCCAGUCUUCUGCAAUCUUUAGGCGAGUUAGAGUCCUUGAAACAGCUUUUGAAAAUUUAAGUUCAAUCUUCUGAUGAACUGCAGCUUCUGGUGAUACACAGCUUCUGAUGAACUUGCUUCUGAUGACGUCAUCACUUCAGAAGCACUUUGUCUUUAGGCGCACUUCAAACUUCAGGAGCAGUUUUCUUCAGACGCUCGAAGCUUCUCUUUUUGUUGAUAUACUUGCUCUUUAUUUGUUCUUUGAAGACCAAUUUAAUAUGACAAUUUUUUUUCUAUAGUCCUGUACACUUGAACAAAUAUUAGCGUAUCCAAUUGACAAUUUUUAAUACUUUAUUAUCAUCAAAACUCUCAAGGGUUAUUAUUGCUAAACAAAUUUUAUUCCAACACAUUUUACAUACAUAAUCAAUCAAACAAUAUGUUACUCGCAUUUCUUUUUACUUUAUAUUUAGUUAUGUUUUUAUUAGCUUAGUUCUCAAAAAUCACAACGGAAGAACGUAGUUUCUUUCUACUUUAUACUUACACUCUUUAAAGAAUGGAAGAACAUCGUUUCUUUCUUGGCAUAAUCGUUUGGAGGAAAAGAGAAUCAUUGUUGAGAUCUAUUAGCCAGUUCAUCAGCUAAUUUGGCAACAAUUUGUAAUAAUAAAAUUGUUGUAUUAAUAAAAACAAAGCAAGGUGAGGACUAAAAAUUACCAAAUAACUGUGUGAAUAUUGGUAAUAAGAUAGGAAAUAAGAGAAGGAGUGAUAAAGAAAGGGGUAAGGGCUACAAGGGUCAGUGGCCCCAAACCAUCAUCUACGAAGGACACAGUAGCCUGUGCAAUAGCAGCAUGUACAAUAGUGACAUAUUUUACCCUCCAAUUCAUCACUCUUUGCUAGCAAGAAAACUUUUAAAUUUUACCACACAUAAUUAAUUUUCCAAUACAAAUUAAAUGAAAGAAAACACACAUAGAAAGAGAUAUUGUUAUAUAUGCAUACGGGUGGACAAGCAUGCAUGUAAAGUAGCAAAAUAAAUUAUUUAAAUAUUCAUAUGACACAAAAUGAUUGAGGAAUAUAACAAGAGAGGGUAGCUAAAUUUUACACACAAGAAAACAAUAGCCAGAAGAUAAAUAGCUAGGUAUAUUGUUUUCUUCUCCUCGUCUCUUCAUUACUCUUGUCUCCUUAGAUCCUUUCCUCUUGCAACCUUUUUGCUCUCAAUCUGUGAGUUUUUUUUUCUACUUUUUCUUCUGACAUGAAAAAAACAACCACAAAAAAAUCAAAUAUAUAUAUAUUUCAGCUCUUUCUAGCUUCUUUAAAUUAUUUUGUUAUAUAGUUUCUUUAAUUUAACUGAUCUCUUUUUUGUUAUCCUUGUUCCAUGAGAGAAGGAAACAUGUUAAUGAAAUUUUUCUUUUAGAAGAAGAAUUAAACAUUUGAUUAUUAAGUUUUUGUUUAAAAAUUUCAGAUUGCAAAAUAUAUAAUUAUGGCGGCUGCUUCUUCAUCUACAUCAUUCUUUGGAAUCAGAGAAGAAAAUCAAAGUCAAAUAACACAUCAUCAUCCUCAUCCUCAAUCAACUACUACUUCUGCUACUUCCUCAGCUCCUUCAACCACAGUUCCUCAAAAGAAAAGAAGGAAUCAACCUGGAACACCAAGCAAGUAGCUUAAUUAUUUUUAUUUUCAUUAUUACUUAAAGCUUCAACAUGCACACACCCUUCUCGAAUUUUUUUUUUUUUUUUUUUUUGUAUUAUUUUCUCAAAAAACAAGCAUAAUGAAACCCUAAAUCAUGAACAUGAGUUAGGGCUCUGAAUUUCUUUUACAAAAAAGCUAUAUAAGAACUAUGUUUAGGGUGCAUGCAGUCUCCUCCAAUUUUAUUCUCAAAAGCAUAUGAGACUUCGGUUUUAAUUUUUGUAAUAAUUUUUCUAACUUCUACUGUUUUUUACUACUAUUACCAUGAGUUUGUGGCUUUUAAAUGGAAAAAAUAACAAUAAAACAUAGUUCUUCAUUUCAUGGUGCAUAUAUAUUCAAUUAUGAAUACUUCUUUUGAUGUUAAAAAAACUAGAAUUUUAUAAUAUUUUUCUUAUACAAAAAAAUAUAUAAUAUUUUGUUGUUUUGGCAUUUUUCAUGGUAAAAAGAUCCAGAUGCAGAAGUGAUAGCACUAUCUCCCAAGACUCUAAUGGCAACAAAUAGAUUUAUAUGUGAGGUUUGCAAUAAAGGGUUUCAAAGGGAGCAAAAUCUUCAACUUCAUAGAAGAGGACACAAUCUUCCUUGGAAGCUAAAGCAAAAGUCCAACAAAGAGCCAAGGAGAAAGGUUUAUUUGUGUCCUGAGCCCACAUGCGUCCAUCACGACCCUUCAAGAGCUUUAGGAGAUCUAACUGGAAUUAAAAAGCAUUUCUCUCGUAAGCACGGUGAGAAGAAGUGGAAAUGUGAAAAAUGCUCAAAGAAAUAUGCUGUUCAAUCUGACUGGAAAGCACAUUCUAAGACUUGUGGUACUAGAGAAUAUAGAUGUGAUUGUGGCACCCUCUUCUCUAGGUAACAAACAUCAUCUUUAUAUUUAUAUCUUCACAUCGAUGUUAGUCUAAUUAUAUUUCAUAAAUAUGAAUUCAUCACUCUAUAUACAUAAUAUAUGCUACACUUUUGCCAAAUGUUAGGGUUAUACUUAUAUGGUUUGGUAUUGAAUAUUAUUUUAUUUUAUAGAAGUUAGUGUUUGAUUAUUUUUUUACUACCAAUUUUAUUAUAAGAAUUCGAUUAUUUUAAUCAUGUUUUUUUUCAUCAUUCAAUUGCAAGGAAAAUGGUCAUAAGUCAUAACAAUCUGAAGUUUUGCAAGAAAGCAAGUAAAAUCCAACCAAACCGUAGAUCAAACUCAUAGACUCCUUAUAUAUCGUUCUCUUUCUUUCCUCUUCGUAUUGAGCUCUAAUUUAUCUAAAUUGAAGUACUCUUUAAACUUCUUUACUAAGGAACCUUUUACAUAUAAAAAGGUGUGUGUAUAUAUAUAAAUAUAAUAAGUUGAAUUUUUUUACAAUAAGUAAAAACACACAAAGGUUAAAUUUGAACAACAGUCUCUUUUAUGUUCUUAUCCCAAAAAAAAGUGAACAAGAGCUUUCACCCUUUCUCUGUUAGUUUGUGUUUGGGUGUUAGUGAAGGUGUAUAUUGUAUGGCGCAGGAGACUGCAUGCACGUGAGUACACUGUUCAAAUGUAGUACAAAAAUUGAAAUGUUUGAAGGAAAAAAAAUCAACUUUGGUUUUAGGGAACCGUGCCCAUAAUCUUUUAACGUUCACGUGUAGUGAAACAACAUAAUAACUUUGUUCUCAUAUGAAAUGGAUUGGAGGAGAUGCUGGGUUUUGUUCUCUUUCUUGUUAGCUAUUUCUAGUUUUCAAAAUUCAAAUACAUUUCCAUGUUCUUUUUAGCAAUGGGUCCAAGGUGACUAAUUUCCAUGUUACUAACAGAAAAUUCUCUUCAUUAAUUGGUCAUGUUUCUCAUAUAGAUUUGCUAGAAAUUAUGUGAUAUAACGAAUUAUCUUGGUAGAAUAUAGACAAGUAUUGAGGUUGCUUGCAUUUAUUAAGUAGGCCCCAUAUUGAAAUUUUUGAGUAUUGACUUUCAUCAUAGUUGCAAACAAUUCUCUCUUUUAUUGAUCAAAGAAAGACCUCAAAUUAGAAGUUUGAUUUAGAAAUUCUUGGUUUGUUUCAAAUUUUGGCAUAAUCCCAUGGGCCCUCUACUUCAAUUGUAGUUUUCUUAAUUUCAACAUACUAUACUAGUUUCAAUUAAUUCCAAUUAAAACAAUUAGGUUACUCAUAUUCAUUACACAAAUAUAUGGGAUUAUAAUAUGAACUUCCAAAGGCGAACAUAACUAUUUUUGGUAAAUUUUAAUACAAUAUUAGAUAUGUUCUCCUUUUUACUAUAUAUGGUAGGGGUCUACAUUAUACCCACCCAAAAAAAUUGACAAUGAUAUAUAUAUGUUGCUUAAUUCUUUGUAAUUAAUUUUGGUGCAGGCGUGACAGUUUCAUCACUCAUAGGGCAUUUUGUGAUGCACUAGCACAAGAGAGUGUAUUAAGACACCAUAACCCUUUUGGGAGUACUCAUCAAUUGUAUGCCACAAACCAUCACAUUAGUUUAGGCCAAAUAUCCCAUCAAUUGCAAAAUCAUCAGAACCAAAUUACAUCAUCCACUAGCAACAAUAACAACCUUUUGCGCCUUGGAUCAGCACCACCAAAAUUUGAACAAAACUUAAUCUCAUCACCACCUUUAAAUCACUCUUCAUCAUUUGGACACUCAAUCCCAUCUUCAUCACCAUUCUUCAAUAUGAGUGAUAUUUCAAAUCAAUCCUUUGAAGAACAACAAUCUCAACAAGGACAAUUCUUAAACAAACAACUACAUGGUCUAAUGCAUCUUCCUGAUCUUCAAGGCAAUACAAAUACAAACAAUUCAAAUUCUUCCAAUCUUUUCAACCUUAUGGUUCAUGAUCAAUUCAACAACAUGAGUAGUACCCAAGGAACAACACUUUACAUUAACAACAAUAGCUCUUUAAGUGAUCAUCAAGUUGGUUUUGUCAAUUCAAUGCAACAUGGUCAAAACAUGUCUAGUCCUCACAUGUCUGCCACUGCAUUGCUUCAAAAAGCUUCUCAGAUUGGUUCAACUAAUUCUACCAACAAUAACAAAGGUAGUAAUAAUGAUCAUAAAUCAGGUGAUAGGGACUUUGUUGUGUCUGAUCACAACAACAUCAAUGCCACUUUUGGAAAUAGAAGUUCAAGUAUUGAAAAUGAUCAUGACAACAACGAUCUUCAUGGAUUGAUAAACUCUAUUGCAAAUGGAAACACAUCAUCCAUAUUUGGCAAUGAAAGCAAUCUUAAUAUGAGAUUUGGUGGAUCUGAUAAGUUAACUUUAGAUUUUCUUGGUGUUGGAGGAAUGGUCAGAAAUAUGAGUGGUGGAUUUUCACAAAGUGAACAACAACGUGACAUGAUGAAUACUAGUAUGGUUUCUUUGAAUCAUGACCUAAAAUCAGCACAUUCAAGUCAACAUUUUGGAAGCUCAAAUAUCUUGCAAUGAAGAUUGGGGUGAGAAAUUUAUUAAUUUAAGGAAAUAUUGCUUGUUAGUUACAUGUGAAUUAUUCAUUAAUUAAGUAGUAAACUUUGUUUCAAACAUUUAUUUAUUUUAUUUUUGUUUUCCUCAAAAGAAGUGCAGUUCAUUGGUAAAAUGAGGUUCCAAUUCUAGAAAUUACUACAAAUUACAAUCCCUUAUUUUAUUUUAACACGUCCCUUUCCUUAUUCUUUGCUCUCUAUGAUGUGAUAGAGAGAUGUAAUAAAUUCACUUUUGAAUUUCAUGUGUGAGCGAACAUGAGAUAAUAAAGUUUAUAGAAAAAAAAAAUUGAUUCAUUAUAGAUUUUCCUCUAAGAAAAUUAUUUCUCAAUCACAGAGGGUAAAAUUCCAUGCUCGAACCAAGAAAAAAUAUUCAACCUAACAAUUUCAGCAUUGUUAGUUGUGCUAGGUUUUACGGACCAGGACAUCAUCGUUGUCUACCAAUUUUUUUUUACAGAUUUGAGGCGAUUUAAUUUGGUUGAUAAACACGAGUAAAUUACUCAAAUGCCCCUUGGCAGUUAACUGCCGAAAUUUUAAAAAAUCGGCUGCAGUUAACUGUCGAGAAAUUUCAAACCUGAAAUUAAAUAAGGAAAUACACCUAUGUUUUCCUUAAUUAAAUUUAAAUCUUUAAUCCUUUUAAGGAAUUAAACAUAAUUAUUUUUAUGAUUUCAUUCAUAUGAUUUUGUUGCUAUAAAUGAAGAAAUAUGAGAGAUGAAUAAUAUCUGUAAUCGGUAGUUAAUAGACCUAAAAUGAUGAUUCAAUAAAAAAAAUGCAACAACAAAAACGUUACAAAUGAUAGAAUAAUUAUAUUUGUAAUUAUUAGUAAUUAAUUUCAUUGAUGUUGUUAUUAUUCAUAAGUUUGACUAACCUAUUAUUACUUUAUACUAAUAUUUUAGAUAUUAUUACUUUAAUUAACAUGAAAAACGCAACAACAAAAAAUAAGGGGGAUUUAUUGGAUUAAGAUUCUAUGGGAUUUUAAAAGAUUUUUUAAUUAUGAAAAAGUCUUGUGGUAUUCAAUCAAAACUUUUUGCAGCCGGUUCUUUAAAAUUUCAACAGUUAACUGUCGAAGGAUAUUUGAGUAAAUUACUCGUAUUUCUCAGUCAAACCAAAAGUGUGAACAGCAAUACUCAAUUUCAAAAACAUGUAUAUGCCACGGUAAAUAAAGCCAGUUGUUGACUUGUUGAUAGUUGUGUUGUUAUUACUUGUGUACAAAUGCUUACCAAACGAGGGUGGGAUGUUGGCACUCUGUUAUGUUAAGAAUCUUCACGUUUUGGCUAUAUUCCAAUGGAAGCGACAGAGCCUCAUUUCCGUUCAAUUUCAUCUUUGUUUUUUUAUAUACGACGUACAAAUACUAACUAACUAAAGGUACAUUAACUUUAAAAUAAAGCAAGAAAUUUUGUAGUAUUGCUUACCUAAUAUAUAUAUACCUUACUUUUAAAAAUACAUAUUAAAAUAUAUGUAAUAAAAAAUUAUAUUAAAUGCUAUAUAAAUGUUAAAUGUUAGAGUCUCACAUUGAAUAUGAGAAUAGUAUAACAAUAUGUUUACAAGUUAUUUAUAAUAGGUUCUUAAUAAUAAUACUAAAUAAAUAUCAAAACUUAUUUAUAUAGAAGUUAUUUUAGUAUUAUUAAGAGCCUAUACUUUUUUUUUGAGCAAAAGAGCCUAUACUUAAUUGAUAAGAAAUUGUUACCAAUAUACCAACUCCAUUAAGUACCAUAAAUUUGAGAAAGAGACCUUGCAUAUUUUUCAGGUGAUUUUGUUGACAUCUUUUUCUCUUAACACUAGGAAGGACCCUUUAGUUUUUCAUUGUAAUAUAAAUAUUCUUGUACAAGUUGACUACCUUUGAAUUUGCAUGUCGUCGUUGAUGGCUAUAUAUAGGGUUAGAUCUAACGUCAUUGUUCAUUUGGUGGAAGAUUUUUAUGAGGAGUGUGUGGUACAUAACAUAUGCAACAUAAAUAACAUAUUAGCAGUAGUCUCUGCAAUGUUCGUUAUUGUAAUUACUGGUAAAAUAGCUGCGACACUUUUGUCGCAUGUAAAUUCCUUCUUCACAUGGAAAUCACCCGUCCGUGAGUGAGUGAAUGAAUGAGUGACUAUUAACCAACCAACCCAGUCAUUUCAUUUCGCCUUCACUCUCUACCCGUUACAGUUUUUCUAACUUUCUUUCUUUAGAUUGAGUAACUUCAAUAAUGCAAUGCAACUAAAGAUUAUUACUUACAACUUCUAUGCUCAAAUAAUUGUUGCAAUGCAAUUAAACACUCACUCAUGCGUGUCCCCGUGAGCCUAAUCCAGUUUGUAGAGACAUUGCAUUAUAUAUAUAGAGGUUGGGGUUCAAACUCAAACACUCUACUUAUUCACCUUAAAAAAAAUGAAUUUAAGUCAAUUGGCUACCUGACUAAAAAAAAACGCACUCAUAUGUUUUAUUUCAUAAGCUGGUUUUAGACCUUUUUAUCUGAAAAACUUAUCUCACAUUGUAGUUGAUAUGUAUGGUUAGACCUUUUGUGAGGUUUGUGUGUCCCCUAGUCUAUCACUCUCUCACAGUUAAACUACUUUGUUUUUGAGAGGUUUGUAUACCUUACUUAAAAACAACUAUCAUUCUCUCAUCAAUUUCAUCAUUAAGCUAUUAAAAUUAACUAAAAAGUACCUAAACUAUUCUCACAUAUAACUAUUAGCCCCUUGGUUGACAAAGUUAAUUUUUUUUAUGAUGGUUUAUGGACUAAAUUGAUAUAUUUUUUAUAGUUUAAAGAUCUUCUAGUUGAUUUUAAUAACUCGAAGGCUAUAUAUGUGAAAAAAUUGAUAGUUUAAGGAACAAGUUGAUUGUUUAUUCUUAAUUUGAUUGAAGUCUACUGGCACACAAAUUUACAAGGAUACGGUGGAUAUGGGGAAGUUAUACCUGAUAUCCCUACAUUUAAUCUUUUACCCCCUACAAAUUGUUGAAAAUGCCAAAUUUACCUUUUAUCAUUUCACUUCACCCUGCAUAAAAUUUUAGCCAACAAUACACUUCCGAGAUUUAAUACUCCAAUUUUCGGAAUAUUCAUAUCAAAUUUUUAUGGUAGAUUAAUUUGUAAACCGGAACAAUUGAGUAAAGAAUUAUUAUCAGAAUUCUUUCUUCUUUCAUCGAGGUUUGAGAGACAAUGAAAGAUGGAAAAUAGAAUACAACAACCUGUAUUAGUUAAUAUAAAAUUAAGUGCAAAGCAAAGAUCAUGAUACCAAACCUCAUCAAUUCUUCUUCCAAUUCAUUUUAUUUAGAUCUAAAAAAAUGAAAGGCCGUAUAUUUCUGGAGUAGAAUUUUAGAUGUAAGGUUGGGAAAUCAAAAAACCUGGCUAAAACUGCAGAAACCUGUUUUCUGAAUUCUUUCUAAAAAAACAGUGUAAAAAAAUGCUUGUCUCUUUAUCUGUAGAUCUAAAAAAAAAUCAUUUCUAAUUCAUCUUGUUUGGAAAUAUGAAUACGAAAAGUUGUAUAUUUUAAUUUUUUUUAUUUUUACAAAAUACCGUUGUUGGGAAUGUGAAUAAUCUAAGAUUAAAUGUAGGGGUGGUAAAAGAUUAAAUGUAGGGGUAUAUGGUAUAAUAUCCUGGAUAUGGUAGGCUUAUAUUACUUAGAACCCAAAUCAUGUUACUUAGGCCCGUCAUCAUGGACUUUUUUCAUGUGGUUUCCAUGCAGGCUAGUUGAAUAUUGCUCUUUAGGCAUCCAUGUUUUGCUCUCAGACAUUUUGAAAUUAUUAUUUUACCUCAAUGAAAAUUAAUUACCAUUUGUUGAUGAACGAUGGUUAGUUUUCAUUCUCUUAUGAACAGUAGUUAAUUGUCGUUCUAGGGCAUUUUAUGUGGUUCAGAUUGCGCAGACAGUUUUUGUGGUCCACGAUACAUAAAAACUUCUAUAAAUUGGUGUGUUUGGUUCAUUUGAAACCACACCACAAAAUCAUGAAUAUUUAUCUAGUAGAUCCGAACACCAAAUUAGCGCAGUUAACUACAACGGGGAAAACUCAAUAUGUUUAGGGUUCAGGUUAAUGCUAUAUCGGUUGACUUGAAGGAACAUAGUUGGACCAAAUUAACAGUCGACUCAACCACAAAGACACAAGAAAGGUGGAAAGUGUUGAGUAUCGUCAUCCAUUCGUUUGACUCAUAUGAAAGCGUCAAGUUCACCCAUAUGAAGUUCAAGAACAACGACAUCGUGAGAACCAUCAAGUUAGACGCUUCAUUGGUCAAAUAUUUUUUAGAUGUUCCGGAAAGUUUGAUUCAGAUUAGGACCUUCAAAGAAAACAGGACUUGCAUGGAUAGACCAAAAGAAAUAAGUAUGUCUUAUUCGUGAUUUUGUAUGUGUUUUAUUAUGUUGUUAAAUUAUGUUAGUGUAUUGUGUUUUAUUAUGUUUAAUGUAUGUUUUUGUUAACUUAUGUCAUUGAAAUUAUGUUAAUGUAUUGUAUUUUAUUAUGUUUAAUGUAUGUUCUUCUGAGCUUUCCUUUGUAACUAAUGAUUAACUACAGUUUCUUCUGAAAACAACAAUUAACUAUUGUUCCUAGAAUGGGAGUUAACUCUUGUUUAACAACGAAAAAUAAUUAAUUAUUAUUUCGGAUAAAAUAGUCAAUUUGAGACGUGUUAAAACAAAGUAUGAGUGUCUAACGAACAAUUUUCAAGAUAGUUUAGUCCUUUUUGGGUUCUACCUUUUUUUUUUAUGAGUAACUUCUACACCUAGUUUCCAUUCUUUUUUGUGUUAAUUGUCCGAUUUCUUAGCAUGUGCGUAACUCACGCAGCGUGACUUAAGUCACACAUGUGUAAAAACUAAGUCAUGUAUUUUUUACACUUGCGCUAAUUAACUAACGCAAGGGUAUUUUCGGCAACACUGCAGGGCGCGAGUGUUUUGUGUUGGGUGAAGAGCAGAAUUCUAAAGUCAUAUAUAUAUAUUAUGGUUUUAAAAGGGUAAUUGCUAAAUCAGAUUCAUAGGAAGCAACUAAGUUAAUAUUGAAAGGGCAUGGUAAAGGGCACCCUUGUUCUCAUAUCAUUUCUCAUAUUUCUAAUUUUCUUGUCUAAUUCAUGAGUUACAAGUUUCAACGUGUCUAACGUGAAGCCAACAAAGUCGUGAAUGCUUUUGCAAGGAAUAUCCAACUUCAAAGUAUUAGCGCAGCUUUAACUUGAUGAACAAACUUAGAGUUUUCUAGGGUUUUAAUUUGAUUUUGUUGAAAUAGAGAGAGAAUGAGAAGAAUGGGUGAAUGAGGAGACAAGAAGUAUUAAAGUUGUGAUUUCAUUUAUAUGUAAAAAUACACAUGAAAGUAGCUUAUAUACAUGGUUUUUUGCUAGGUUACUUGAAGUACAAGUCAUAUAACAAACCCUAAAUACCUUAAGCUAAAAUCUAGUAAAUUUGUAACAAACUAUUAACAAACUAAACUAACUAGAUUUCUAAUGUGAUUAACCAAACAAGCUUGAUUAGAUCACUAACAAACUUGAAUUAUCAACUAACACAAAGUUGCGAUAAUAUAAAAAUAAUAUCAGAACUAGUCUCUCUUCAAAUGAAUGAUGCAUCACAACUUAUCUUUCUCCUUUGAUGGAAAAAUUUGUUCUAAUACCAAUUAUUGAAGGAAAAAAAUCAAUAAAAAAUCUUUAAACAAGCGGGAACACAACCACAAAAUAAGUAAAAGAGAUAAAAACAAAUCACAAGCCUAUUUUUCGAUACUUCACAGUUCACACCUUCAUUCAUAAUAUCUUAACAAAAUAUUUGUUACAAAAAUAUGCAUAGUUUUACUAGGAAUUGCAAACCCUCUUGUACAAUUAUAAUUUUUGCACAGAAAUAUUGCAAACUAAUCUUUCUCAAUUACAAUUUUUGUAAGAAAAACUACAAACUCUUUCAUGACACACAACUACCCAACCUCUUUUUUUUUUUUUUUUUUUUUCAUUACUCGAUGUGCGAUGUGAAAGAAUAUCAAUUUUAGAGAACAAAUGGCUAUAAUUUAUAGGUGGCCUUUAUGAUUUUUGGCACAAAUUUUCAUACUGUGAAAUGUGAAUAGAUGCAUGUGCAGAGAUGGAGUUCAUAAUUUAAAUCUUACGUUAAAAAUAAAACAAGUUUUUAAUGUUAUAGUUUAAAAAUAAAAAAUUGUUUCUUAUAUACAAUAUUUUUAUGAAUAUUUACAUAGUUCUUAAAAAAAUUAAUAAUGAAUGGUAUAUUCGUGUCCUGUAUGACACAAUGAAACAUAUGCACAUGAUUAAAUUAUACAUUAAGCCUAAUCAUAUGAUCUGAAAAGAUUUUCUCUACAUUUCGUCGAGCUAGCAAGGUAGAUAGAUGUCAACUAAUAAGUUGAUGAAAUCGGCUAAAAAAGAUUCCCAGUUGAAGUUUAUUAUUUUUUUGGUGCAACCCAGUUGAAGAUUUUAUUAACUUUGAUGAUGGCUCUGAACUACCAAGUUUUCUAGAACUUGAACAAGUCCUUAAUUUUAGUUGAAUUGCAAUACUAUGUCUAUAUGUAUAGUAUACCGUUUCUGGUUUCAUAGUCUGUUAAUUUUAAGGAAUUUUUUCAAGUGGCUCAAAAAAAACAUAUACAGUACAUUCUUUAGUUUUAUUUACAUCGUUUUCAAUCUCUUUCGCUUUUUUAAAUAUUUACGCAGAAAACAUUUUUUUUUUUUUUUCAAUCAGAAAGAGGCAAAAUUAAGAUUUGCAUUGGUUUUAGUCAUCACCUACUACAUUAAAUUACUAUUUGUGGAAAAUAUUGUUUAUAGCGUGAAACUGUGCUCUGACUGGCUCACAUGCAAACGGACAGUGGCAAUAUUGUUUAAGGAAGUAUUAAUCUUUUUUUUUUUUUUUUUUUUGACAGAAACCAUAUAGUAUUAAUCUAUUAUUACUACUAUAUAUGCAUAAAAAAGGACCAAUUAACCGACAUGCUUUGAGUUAUUUUGUGUUUUUUUUUUUUAUUGUUUCUGAAAAAAUCAACCAACAUGCUUCUUUUUUUGCGCUAACUAAAACUAAUUUAUUUAUGCUACUAAUCAAUUUAUUAAGACUAAAACUUGAGUACAAGUUAGUCUUUUUUUUUGUAGUUGGUGACCUACAAGUGGUACUCUUGUACUCAUUAUACUCAAAGUCAAGGGUACAUGCGUAUGUGUUAUGCUGAAUUCGAAAAUUCAUAGUCAAGACCCAGCAAUAUCAAGAUAUAUACACACAUGUCCUAAAGUGCAUUCUGGAGAAUAAGAACUACAAGUCUAAAGUUUUUCUUUUUGUUAGUAAAGUUAUUUUAGUCCAAGUUUAGACUAUACAACGCUGACUAUGAAAUAUGAAAGGAAAAAAAAACCUUCAAUUUUUGUCAAAAAAAUAAAUUCCAUUGUCUCUAACUAAUUAUUGAAAUUUUAAACAUGUGUUUGGUCUAACGGUAUGGUAGAAAAAAUCACGGCAAAAAUUCACGGUAACUACAAAAUCUAAAAAUUUGUAAUUUCUUUGAAAUUUGAGUUUGUAACUUCGAACGUCAAAUAAUCGUUCAUUAAGUCUCUAAAGCUCACAUGAUCAGACCAGCUUUGAUUGCAAAAUAUGACCAACUAAUUACUAAUAAACAUUUAAUUUUGUUAGCAGAUCAAUUUAUCUGUUUAAUGUUAAAAUAAAUCUGAUCCAAUUCAAUACUUUUGGACAUAGAUUGAAAUGGUUUCCCCCCCCCCCCCCCCCCCUUUUUUUUUUUUUUUUUUGUAAACUAGGUAUCCUCCGCGCGCAACUGCGGAGACUAAUCCCUCGAGCAUUGUGAGACCCAAAUGGACGGCAGACUCUCCCUAAGAGUUUUAACGCUGCUGGAGGUAUUGUAAAUAAUAUUUUGUGUUAUAUUAUUUUUAAGAGUGUAUAUUUCUAUAUAAAAAGAGUGAGUUUUGCCUUCAACCUCGAGGUAAUCGGUUUGAGACCUAGGCACUGAGAACAUGAGUUUUUUCGAUUAGCUCUUUAAAAAAUUAUUUAUAGGAGGAAUAAUUGUUUUUAUGGAAUUUGUCGUGUAAUAAAAAUCUAAAUCGUCUAGUCUACAAUUUUGUAUAGUCUUCAAUUAUGUUGUGAAUUCGGGCUUUGAAACUUCACACCAAUCCAAACUAUGAUGUGUGGAGAAAGUAUCAAUGGCAACCAACAACCAAAUUAACCAUAAGCAAUAACAAUAAUAUAUACCAAGUCUAUAAACCAAGUGCAUAGCAAAAUCACAAUCCAACCAAAUAAUAAACAAGAUAAAAGAGUAAAGAAAAAUAGACAACAACACCAAGAGAUUGUUCACCCAGUUCGGUCCAACCAUGACCUACUCUGGAGGAGAGAUUGAUCUCUUCAAUCCACUAUCAAUGAGUUCUUACAAAGAGAUACAAAUGAGUUACAAGAAAUUAGCUUCAACAAGCUCACAAAAAACAACCCUAAUUUCUACCAAUUUUCCCAAUCUCACCAAUGAACAAGACACUCAUGAUUUUUACUCUCCCAAGGUGUUUACAAUUGUUUCACAACUCUAGAAUCUAACCCCCAAAAGAGAACCAACUCUUAGCCUUUGAUUUCACUUAGGAUCUUCUCUUUUGGUUUCACAAGACUCACCCAAGUUGCUCGCAAAUGACUCUCCACUCAUGUGUUUCCCAACCCCAUGAAUCUUCUCCAAAAGGCACCAACCCUUUUCACAAGAGCCCCCUCUUUUGGUUCUCCAAGAUUCACAUCUUGAAGCUUUGAACCUCACCCAAAGACCCUCAACCUUUAGUAUCUAAAACCCUAAAAGUUUCAUCCUUUGGUUGUUAUGGGAUUCACCAAGCUUACCCAACAAAUGGAUCAGGGAGUGUUUAAAACAUGUUUCAGAUCUGUCAAAAUCGUGUCACAUUUUGCCUUCAGAACCAAACAUGCAUUCGGCAUCAGAAAUCGUGACACGGUUGCCAAAUCGUGUCAUGAUUCUUCACUUUCAUAAAGACUUAAUUUUGAGUCAUAUAUAUACCAACAAAUUCAAAUUAUAUAAAUGGACGGUAUAUUCUUUAGUAAAAGUAUUAUUUCACAAUUUAAUACGUAUUAUUAAAAGAAAUUAGAAACAAUUAUCAAAAAAUUAUGAUAGAUAAUAUAUUAAACUCGUCUAGUGUGUGUGUAUUUUUGAAGGAUAGUGUGUGUGUGUAUUAACAUCAUUCUCUAAUUAUUUUUGUAGGGAAACAAUGUUGGUUAAAUUGAUGUGUACUUUUUUUUGUAAAAAAUAAUCGACGUAUUUUUAAAUGAGAUUUACAUGUAGAGAGAGACAGCGGUAGACAUAGUAGUAGAACAAUUAAAAUUUAAAAGACCACUUUACAAAUUGCACCAAGUGGUCCUCUAAAAAAGAUCACCGACAGUUGCUUCACUUUACCUUCAUAUAUUUUAGAGCAAUGAUAUUUGAACAAUUAUUUAGUACAACAUUUUUUGACAAUCUUCUUUUUCUCUCUUUUUAUUGGUCAAAAAUAAUGAAGAGAAAAAAGAAGAGAUAGAGUAAAAAUAUAAUAUGAAUAUGAGAAAAAAAAUUGUCUAAAAAUUAUCACAAAAUGGUUGUACAAAUAUUAUUUCUCCAUAUUUUAGACACAGGCUAAUCAUUAAUUAAUUUGUGUAAAAAAAAACAAUAAUAUUAUUUUGACAACAUUAUUCAACACCUUAUCUUUCUUUCAAAAAACAUUAUUCAACACCUUAUGUUCAUAUUAUCAUUUGAUUUUCUUAAUUAUGUUUUACAUCAGUCACAUCAAGUGACAUUUUACACGCUUAUCAAUUUUUUUUGUCAAGUAGCCUAGUGUUUAGAACUCAUAUAAUUUAAUUGUGAAGAAAUGAAGUGUCAGAGAUUCGAACUCCAACCCCUGCAUAUAAUAUGCAAUAUCCCUACCAACUGAACUAAGCUCACGAAGAUCGCGGUUAUCAAUUUUUGUAGUUCAAAUAACAUCACUAAAAAAAGCUACGAGGCAGACGCACAAAUUUUCAUUGAGCAGUUGUGUUAAUUAAUUUUAUAACGCAAGGAAAAUGGUGAAGUUUUUGUGAAUAGAGAAAUGAUAUAUAUACAAUCAUUUUCAAACAACUUUUGUAAUAACUUUAUCUCUCAUUUUUAUAUUUUAUUUUUAUUUUUUUCUCUAUUAUUUUGGUUUUCGUUUAUGAUUUUUUGUAAGAAAAUGAUUGUCUAUGUAGUUAUCAAUCACAUUGAUGUUCAAAUAACAUUGCUUUUGUGAAUAAUGCAAAAUAGUUUCUCGGAACAAUCAAUUAUUCAAUUGAUAUUUACGAAAUUAGUUUUUGUAGGGUGUCCCUAUAAAUCACAUAUACUUUAAAACAGUCAUAUGUAUUCACGAUUCGAGAUCUUAUAAAAAAACCAUUCCAGAUCAUGUAUGAAAAUGAAAUAUAUAUUUUUUUUGACUGGUGUAUGAAAAUGAAAUAUUUUCAAAAAUAAAAUAUACUCUCUGCCCAUAUAAUGUCAGCGUAGGUGUCGGUGUUUUUCUACCGACUAUAAGAAAAACUGUAAAAUAAAUAAAACAAUAUAGUAAUUUAAAUUAGUGAUUGUAAAUUAUUGUCUUAAAUGUAUAGUUCAAUAUAAUAGAUUAAAAAUGAUGAAAAAAAUAUUAAUUUAAGAGUAGAAUUGAAAUAACAUAUAUGUUUUCGAUAGUUUAACUAAAUUGAUAAAGACAUUGCAUAAUAAUAUACAAGUGUUUUGAAAUUCCAUUUAUUCAUUACAUGUGAAUUUUUAGAUAUUAAACUAUUUGGAAAAUAAAAUAAAAUAUCAAAUAAUUAAGGUUUAAAUAUGUAAGUAGUCCCUGUAAUUUCGCGUAUUUUUGUUUUCGUUCCUGUAAGUUAUUUUGUUCUAAAACAAACUCUGUAUUUUGCUAACCUUUUGGAAAAGGUCCUUGCCGUCAGCUUCCGUCAACAAAAACGCCAUGGUGGCUAACGGAGCACACGUGGCAGUUCAUGAGUUGGCAAAGUUGAUGAGAUGGAAUGAGAGAUGAUAAGUUGUUAAAAUACAGGGACUAAAAUCAAAAACGUAAAUUGACACAGGGAUGAAAUUAAAAAAACGUUUAAUCUUCUUUUUCCUCUCAAAUUUCAGUCUUCUUCUUCCUCUCAAACUUUCCCCAAUCUAUCCCAUACCUUGCGCCCUUGAACCAAAACUCAUAUCCUUCAACAAUUUAUUCUAAUUCCAUUACUCAAUCAUAUUGUGUGUUUUGAUUGUAAUGUUAAGUUGAAACAUUGUAUGCUACUUAAGUUUGAUUAAUUUAGUGAUGGUUGUUGCGAUUGAUUGCAAAUUCAUUCAUAAAGUUUGUAGAUAAUAAAGGCAAGAAUACAUCUUUUUCAUCCCUCUUUUUUUUCCACAAUUCCCUCUUAUUCUUCCAGAUUGCUACAAUUACCAUACAUAAAUAGUCAGAUCCCCUUUCAUCUUUUCUCACUCACAUUCAAAUUCAAACUCUAAUUUCUCAAAUUUUUGCUUUUGAAUUGUGUAAUUUUGUGUUUUUAUGUAAUUGGUGUAGAGAGUUUAUGUUGUUUUAAUGUGUUGAUUAAGAGUGGGUCUUGUUGUUGUUGAUUGAUGAUUAUUAGUUUUGUUUAAAAAAAUAUAUAUGUUUGUUGUUUUCUUUCUUUUCCUGGGUUUGGUGUUGAUGAUUUAUGAAUAUGGUGAUGAAGAUGAAGAAGACAAUGAAGGAAGAAGAAGAAUAAGAUCUUGAUUUUAAAUUUGAAAUUUUGAUUUUACGUUUUUUAUUUUAGUCCCUGUGGUAAUUUACGCUUUUGAUUUUAGUCCCUGACUUUACACAACUAAUCAUCUCUCAUGCCAUCUCAUCAAAUGUGCCAAGUCAUGACCUGCCACCUGUGCUCCGUUAGCCACAAUGGCGUUUUUGUUGACAGAAGCUGAUGGUAAGGACCAUUUUCAAAAGGUCAAAAAGAUACAAGGUUUAUUUUAUAUAAAAAAAAAAACUUACAAGGACGAAAACAAAAAAUACGCGAACUUAGAGGAACCUUUUACAUAUUUAAGCCAAUAACUAAUAGCACUUAUUUUGGUACAUUUCUCUUUUGCAAAUGUGAAACUUAAUAUUGGAUGGGGUCAAUAAUUUUGAGAAUGAAUAAACCCAUUAUUUAGUCUUUUAAUUUUUUUUUUCCAUCCAUCAGGUUUCUAAACUAUUUACAAACACUAAAUGUCCUUAAGACAUAGCUCAAGUAACAAUAUUGAUAUUGAGAAGUUGGAUAUUUUCAUCCGAGUUUGAACUCGAAUUCUUGCAAUUACGAGUGUGAAUUUCAGGUAAUUUAUAUCAAUUUAUCUGUAAACAAAAGGAGAUAUAUACGCGUAACAAAUAGGUCUAAUGCAAAUUAACAACUUAUUUUUAGUUUAUAAAAUAUAUGAAAUUUAAUCCUUUAGUCCCUAGUAUAUUUUAACAAUGGGCACUAAAGCAACAUAUAUUUCAUAUAUUUUAAAUACUACUACAUCUUUCCUUAUGUAUAAGCUCAUUUGACAUUUUCACAUAUAUUAAAAAAGUUAGUAGUGUCUUGACAAAAAAGAAGCUCCUUAGAGUUUCCUUAUGUAUAUUUUUUUAAACCGAAAAAAUUGUGUACAAAAAAUGACUAUUAUUACUAAAAAAAAUCUUUUGCAUAUAGAUGUGUUCAACAUUUAUUUUGCAAUUCUCAAGACAAAUCAGUGGUACAUCUUAAUAAGUGAUAUAUUUGUUAGGAAAAAAAAUUACUAUAUGUAUCUAGUUAUUUGCAAGACUAAUGAUUCUUAGCAAAUAUGCUUAUAUUGAGAGAACUUUUUUCUAAAGAGAGCUUAUAAUUAGAGACUAAGAUUUUGCCAAAAAAUAAAGAAAAAUUAGAGAAUAAGGUUUAUACUAUACUUUAGAAACUAAUUUGAUGAGAUACGACUAAAUCGAAGAUAUAUUUUUUUAGAAUAGUGUUAGAACCUUAGAAAUUAUAAUCAAUAGAAAUAGAAAUGUUCCUUACAGAUCCAUAAUAGUGACAAUCUUGUCUUUUCUUUUGAGGAAAUAAUAAUAAAGGUGGUGCCAACAUUUCAACAAACCUAGCUAUUUUAAUUAUUCUGUUCUCACAGCCUGCACCUUAGAUCAAAUCCAAAUUGGGUCAUCACCGUUCCAAAAUGCUUAGGGACGUUACUCUAAAUGUCAAUAUGAAUGAGUAAUUCAAAUAGUUAACAUAGCCCGCCAGCCUUAUAUAAUAAUAUCAAUAUAUGUCGACUAAUUAUCGAGAUGCUAAAUUGGAGUACACUUCACAAACAAAAAUCUUUCAUAAGGCGUUUUUUCUCUUAAUACAUUUUUUCUUUUCUUAUGCUAGUAACAUUUACUCUGUAUUGGCCUUCCUAAGAAGAAGUUGGAUAGUAGCAAUGUGUUCGUGAGACUGCUGAUAUCUUAAAAGAAUGUUCUCAUAGAUUCCACUUUUUUAGUAAGCUUUUAUGUGUAUGAGUUUGCAAAUUUAACCCUUUUUAAUUCGGAUAGAUUUAUAAGUCACACCUUCAAGUACAAUCGACAAAAUUUCAGUAAUAAUUACGGUUUAGGGUUUAUGGGUCUAGAUCUACUAAAAAUGAGUGGGUGUAUAAAUUAGUAUAUCCUAGAGUUUAUUAUCUUACGUUCGAUCUUCUUUGCAGAAACUCGUGCAUGUUCGUGAUAUAUAUUUUCGCGAGAAGUACAUUUCCCUAAAACAAAAUCAACCACUGACAUAAACACGUCAAAUGUAAGCCGGUAAAUCCAAGCUUUACUAACACGAGUUAUAUUAUAUCAUUGGCAUCAGCUACUUAAGAACUACUGUAGAAAAUUUACAGCAAGUCAUCGAGGCUUAAUAAAAUGUGUUGAUAUAGUUACAAAGAUAAAUUAAAUAGCAGAGCAUACAUGAAGAGAACAAAUGUAGAGCAACCCCUUAAACAAACCCUCUCAGUAAGGUAUCUUCACAUUACUCUAAGUUCAUAAAAGAUGACUUUAAAAACGAUUAUUUCAAAAUGCAAGUAUUCUCCGACCCCUUUUUCCCGGAUCUAGAUCUAAUAGUGUAAGGAUAUAUAUAAAUCAUUGUCACAUUUUACAACUCAAGAGUUUACCUCAACUCGUUUUGUUUAGGUAAAUUCGACUCGAGAACUCGUAUGACUUUACCUAAAAUUAAAAUUAUAUAAAAUUUAUUAUAUAUGCAUGACAUAUGUAAGUUAAUAUAAUAUUGUAAAUAGGUCAAUAGUGCAAAAUAUGACUUAAUUACAAAGACAAAUUAUACCAUAAUAAAAUGUUAUGCUCAACUUAGCUUCAAAAUACAAAAAUUAACGCACAAAAUCAUAAGUCUCUAAGUUUAAGCCAUCCAUAAAACCAUCCAAAAAAAGAAAGUUUCACAAGUUCCUAAAGUUAUUAAUAAAACUAUCUAAAAAAUAAAGUAGUUAAUUUCUUCAAAACGUCAACAAACACCACCACAACAACCCUAACCAGUGUCACAAUCACCGGCGUUGAAAUAUGAAUUUCCACCGUCUGAAUCACAACCCUAAAUGGUAUGUGCUCCCCUGUUCAUGGUUUGAGAACUUAGAAAAGAAAAAGGGCAAUCCGGUGCACUAAAGCUCCCACAUACGCAGGGUCCGGGAAGGGGUCCCACCAUUUUUUGUGUAUUGUACGCAACCUUACCCUGUUUUUGAUCACAAAAGAAAAAGAAACGUUUCAUUUUAGGAACAACUUGUCACUGUAAAGGUAACUAUUAAUUAAACGUUUCAGUCUUUGGGGUUGUAGAAAAGGAAUUGGAUUUUGAAAAAAAUGGGCACAUAAAAAGGGCCAAUUUUUAGAUGUAAACUCGUAAAACUCAGUAAACUCGGUCGAGUUUACACGAGUUUACCUAGUGUUAACUCGGUCAAACUCGUUAAACCUUCCAAUUUUACCAGAAACCGAGUUUACCUCCGAAUUAACAUGAUUUUGGCACCUACGUAAACUCGAAGAGUUAACACUCAAUUUGCGGAACAUUGCAUAUAUAUUUAAAGAUAUAUGUAUAAUUAUAGAGAAAGUAGAGAAGGGAUAUACCAUUUUAUGUAGGGUUAUUAUGUAUCAAAUCAUAAAGAGUCGAGAGUUGUAUUAUACCAUAAUAUUCUUCCGUAAACUGGUAGUCAUGAUCAUGACGUAUAUUAUUCAAGUAUAUGCAAAAACAUGUCUGUAUCUAGUCUAAAUUUUUGACCAAAUGCAUGUAUUUGCUUAUAUUUUGUUACUACUUACUACUCGCCAAGUAAUGCUCAAUAUCUAAUAUAUAUAUUUCAAGACCAUCAAAGAUAACUCAGUUGAACAAUACAUAAUAUAUGCAAGGUUCGGGGUAUAUUACAUUUUCAAUUAUUCUAAUAAUAAAUUUAAAUGACACUUAAAUUAUACAACUAUUAAAUAGAUCUUAGUACCGUAAAAUUUAUAUUCGAGACUUGCUAGGGAGAACCAUCAACCUCAACAAAAAUUUCUACUUGAAUCUAACGCAAACAAAAGGUCCAACCAUCUAUGAAUCUCCGUUGAUAUCACAAAUGAUGUUUGAUACAAGAGAGACAUAUUAGAACAUAAUCUAUGUACAAUCUACAUUAAAAUAAAAAACAAGUCUACAGUCAUAUAAAUAACACAAUUUCAAAAUCUCAAAAUUAGGUAUGAAAACAAAAUGAUUAGAAAAAUAAAUGAUUCAAUCAUUCCGAGAUUUGUGCAAAAAAAAAAAAAAAAACAUUUUGAAAAUACAAUGUUAGAAACUUAUGAUCAAUAUAUAUUUUUCCUUACACAUCAAAAAUAAUUAAGCUAUAUUCUUGUCUUUUCAUUUUGGGCAAACUAAAAUUAAAAUCAAGGUAGUGUCAAUGUUUCUAUAGUCCUAGCUAUUUGAUUUUCUUCUAAGCUAACAAGAGUCUUCCAAAAUCAAAUUCGCGCUCAAAAUUAAAGCAACUUGGGUGGUAACCAUUCCAAAAUACUUAGGGCCACAUUGCUCUAAAAGUCAAUAAGAAUAAGUAAUAAUUCAAAGAUAGCCAACCUUAUAGUAUAUUUUAAUAUGAAUGUAUGCAUGUUUCCUAGAAGGUGAGUAAGCUAACUAAUCAAGAUACUUUGUUGGAGUUAAAUAUGGUAAAGAAUCCAACUAUAAAAUGGGGACUUGCCCCAGCAUUCUUUCACAAACCAAAACCAACUUCUAAGAAAAAAAUGAGGUCCCUAAUGGCCUCUGCUUCUCUCACUCUUGCAUUAGCCAUCCUCUUUUUGAGUUUCCCAUCUGAAAUUUCAGCAAACAAAUACGCAUAUUCCUCUCCACCACCACCACAUUACUCAUCUCCUCCACCUCCACCGGUUCACACUUACCCUAAACCAGUCUACCACUCUCCACCACCACCAGUUCACACCUACCCUAAACCAGUUUACCACUCUCCACCACCACCAGUUCACAAGUACCCUCACCCUAAACCAGUAUACCACUCUCCACCACCCCCAGUUCACAAGUACCCUCAUCCACACCCAGUCUACCAUUCUCCACCACCCCCAGUUCACAAGUACCCCCAUCCUCACCCAGUGUACCACUCUCCCCCACCACCACCACCAAAGAAGUCCUACAAAUACCCAUCUCCCCCACCACCACCAGUUCACACCUACCCUAAACCAGUCUACCACUCUCCUCCACCCCCAGUUCAUCACACCUACCCUAAACCAGUCUACCACUCUCCUCCACCCCCAGUUCACACCUACCCUCACCCUAAACCAGUCUACCACUCUCCACCACCCCCAGUUCACACUUACCCUAAACCAGUCUACCACUCCCCACCACCACCAGUUCACACCUACGUCCCUCACCCUAAGCCAGUCUACCACUCUCCACCACCACCAGUUCACACCUAUCCCCCACAUGUUCCCCACCCAGUUUACCAUUCUCCUCCUCCUCCAGUUCAUUCCCCACCUCCACCACACUAUUACUACAAAUCACCUCCUCCACCUUACCACAACUAGAUAGCCCAUAAUUGGCAUCACACCAUAUGGUAACUUUUCAUGCAACAUAUAUAUUAUAACUUUUCAUAUUCUCUCUUUAUUAACUAGUUAUCGGUAUGAUUGUCGAGUAUAUACUAACAAGGCUAAUUUGAAAUGAAACUUCAUGUGCAAUGAAACAUUCUUUUACUGGUUAAUAUUUUAUUCUAUGUUUCAUUGAAAUUAAUAUUUUUCUAAUAGUAUUUGGUUAUUAAGGGAUUAGAGUAUAUCAGACAUAAACUGACAGAUCAAUAUAUUUGCAUUUGUGUAGGAUCUAAAC
Molecule: long non-coding RNA, 38905 nt
Filed under: Medicago truncatula (barrel medic)
Lineage: Eukaryota; Viridiplantae; Streptophyta; Magnoliopsida; Fabales; Fabaceae
Description: long non-coding RNA (MTRU_LNC007681)
Source: RNAcentral